RNAcentral lists this ribosomal RNA (492 nucleotides) under uncultured bacterium. Its description in RNAcentral is "partial 16S ribosomal RNA". It matches the Rfam family "Bacterial small subunit ribosomal RNA", at positions 29 to 507 of the family's 1533-position model. The record is from RNAcentral.
AGCGAACGCUGGCGGUAGGCCUAACACAUGCAAGUCGAACGGCAGCACAGUAAGAGCUUGCGCUUACGGGGGGGGAGUGCCGGACGGGUGGGGAAUAAUUAGGAACCUACUUUUUCGUGGGGGAUAACGUAGGGAAACUUACGCUAAUACCGCAUACGACCUACGGGUCGAAUCAUGGGUUCUUCGAACAUCGCGCUAUCGAAUGGGCUGGUGUCGGAUUAGCUAGUUGGCGGGGUAGAGGGCUACCAAGGCGACGAUCCGUAGCUGGUCUGGGAGGAUGAUCAGCCACACUGGAACUGAGACACGACCCAGACUCCUACGGGAGGCAGCAGUGGGGAAUAUUAGACAACUGGCGCAAGCCUGAUCCAGCCAUACCGCGUGGGGGAAGAUGGACUUCUGGUGGUAAAGCCCUUUUGUUGGGAAAGAAGAGCAGCAGGUUAAUACCCGGGUGUUCUGACGGUAGCUAAAGAAUAAGCACCGGCUAACUUCGUG